GAUGAAGAACGCAGCGAAAUGCGAUAAGUAGUGUGAAUUGCAGAAUUCAGUGAAUCAUCGAAUCUUUGAACGCACAUUGCGCCCUUUGGUAUUCCAAAGGGCAUGCCUGUUCGAGCGUCAUUUGUACCCUCAAGCUUUGCUUGGUGUUGGGCGUCUUGUCUCUAGCUUUGCUGGAGACUCGCCUUAAAGUAAUUGGCAGCCGGCCUACUGGUUUCGGAGCGCAGCACAAGUCGCACUCUCUAUCAGCAAAGGUCUAGCAUCCAUUAAGCCUUUUUUUCAACUUUUGAUCUCGGAUCAGGUAGGGAUACCCGCUGAACUUAAGCAUAUCAAUAAGCGGAGGA
This 341-nucleotide unclassified non-coding RNA is filed under the name soil metagenome. RNAcentral describes it as "partial contains 5.8S ribosomal RNA, internal transcribed spacer 2, and large subunit ribosomal RNA". The stretch from base 1 to 120 matches the Rfam family "5.8S ribosomal RNA", at positions 35 to 154 of the family's 154-position model. The record is from RNAcentral.